UACGGAGGGUGCAAGCGUUGUCCGGAUUUAUUGGGUUUAAAGGGUGCGUAGGCGGCCCGUUAAGUCAGUGGUGAAAGCCUCCAGCUCAACUGGAGAACUGCCAUUGAUACUGACGGGCUUGAGUACAGACGAGGUUGGCGGAAUUGAUUGUGUAGCGGUGAAAUGCAUAGAUACAAUCAAGAACUCCGAUUGUGUAGGCAGCUAACUAGGCUGUAACUGACGCUGAGGCACGAAAGCGUGGGGAGCGAACAGG
Molecule: ribosomal RNA, 253 nt
Filed under: uncultured bacterium
Lineage: Bacteria
Description: partial 16S ribosomal RNA
Rfam family: Bacterial small subunit ribosomal RNA
Source: RNAcentral